Molecule: long non-coding RNA, 541 nt
Organism: Nelumbo nucifera (sacred lotus)
Lineage: Eukaryota; Viridiplantae; Streptophyta; Magnoliopsida; Proteales; Nelumbonaceae
Source: RefSeq, a predicted model, not a curated record
UAAAUGGGUUAAAAAGAGAGAGAAAGAGAUGAAAAAGGAUAAGGAUGGAGUCAUGGAGGUGGACCUGGUUACUUCUGCCGCUCUGUUGGCGGCGAUGGCGAUCUACACUCCUGAAAAUCCACCAUGGACCCUCGUUAGGCCUCAACGCGCCCAGCAGUCGAUACUGCCAUACUCAGUUUGGUUGAUGUAAAUUUUUGAAGCUCCAACAAUGAGUACCUUAAUUAGGUUGUGUACAGAAGGACUAACUAUAUGGAGAGAAAGCAGGUAAAUAUCUUUGCUCCAACAUUUACUUUUUAAACCCUACAACAAUGUUAUCUAAAAGAAGUUCAUCUUAUGGCUUCAAUAAGAAGAGUUGGAUCUUAUUCUUUCUACUCCCCUAACCGACCCAAGGUGUUCUCUAACUUUUUUUUUCCCCCAUUUUGGUAUUGGGGUGUCCUUAUAAUGCGGGACUGGUCAAUGCUUCUUCCUGUUCAUGUAACAAAUUUCAACAAUUCCCUAAUAAGUGAAUUUAAUGUGAAAUGGCAUUGCUCUAUCUUGUAGA